GUCAACCACCCCGCCCUGAAGGGCGGAGCUUGAAAGGAGGUUCGACAGGCUCGGGUUGACCAGGGAAAGCGGUACCCAACCCGCUCCGUUGGCAACAGGUACAAGACCCACCCCGGGAUGCUUCCUCAGUCCCGGGCUCUGGAAGCCGCCGAUGCAGACAACCGCGAGGGCCAGGACGAAACGGUCGGCGGCAAGGGAGCGAUCCCGAAGCCGGUUGCCAACAUUUCCGAGGGGAGACGCUUCGCAAGAAGCG
RNAcentral lists this non-coding RNA (253 nucleotides) under unclassified sequences. RNAcentral's name for it is "Region of HEARO RNA that is 5' to ORF location". It matches the Rfam family "HNH endonuclease-associated RNA and ORF (HEARO) RNA". The record is from RNAcentral.